This 23-nucleotide non-coding RNA is filed under the name Cricetulus griseus (Chinese hamster). Lineage: Eukaryota; Metazoa; Chordata; Mammalia; Rodentia; Cricetidae. The record is from RNAcentral.
UCAGCUCCUCAGAAUCUCUUCAG